Molecule: transfer RNA, 72 nt
Filed under: Deltaproteobacteria bacterium
Lineage: Bacteria; Pseudomonadati; Myxococcota; Myxococcia
Also listed under: 3 other names
Description: tRNA-Val
Rfam family: tRNA
About the family: Transfer RNA (tRNA) molecules are approximately 80 nucleotides in length. Their secondary structure includes four short double-helical elements and three loops (D, anti-codon, and T loops).
Source: RNAcentral
GGGCGGUUAGCUCAGUGGGAGAGCAUCGGCCUUACAAGCCGGGGGUCACAGGUUCAAAUCCUGUACCGCCCA